This 222-nucleotide ribosomal RNA is filed under the name uncultured gamma proteobacterium CHAB-V-27. RNAcentral describes it as "partial 16S ribosomal RNA". It matches the Rfam family "Bacterial small subunit ribosomal RNA", at positions 1297 to 1518 of the family's 1533-position model. The record is from RNAcentral. Lineage: Bacteria; Pseudomonadati; Pseudomonadota; Gammaproteobacteria.
AUUGGAGUCUGCAACUCGACUCCAUGAAGUCGGAAUCGCUAGUAAUCGCAGGUCAGAAUACUGCGGUGAAUACGUUCCCGGGCCUUGUACACACCGCCCGUCACACCAUGGGAGUGGGAUGCAAAAGAAGUAGUUAGUUUAACCUUCGGGAGAACGAUUACCACUUUGUGUUUCAUGACUGGGGUGAAGUCGUAACAAGGUAACCCUAGGGGAACCUGGGGU